This is a long non-coding RNA of Neogobius melanostomus (round goby), 1737 nucleotides long. NCBI's taxonomy places the organism in Eukaryota, Metazoa, Chordata, Actinopteri, Gobiiformes, Gobiidae. The record is from Ensembl.
AUGGCCGACUCCCUUGUCCUGGUGCAGCUCAAAGCCAACCGAACUGAUGCAAAACGGCAAUUCUCACGCUUAGCCAACAACGUGCUGAGAAUGCACACAGUGAUGUCCGAAGAGGAACUCAAGGACAGUUUUAAAACCCUUACCAUGGAAGCUAAUAAAGUCUUUGAGGCCAACGAUGAUGUUGAAGAUCAGUACGCUGCUGAGUCAGCGCUGGAAGGAGGUGCGCUGACAGACCAGCAGAGGGCAGACUUGGAGAAGGCUUCAAGUGAGUGUGAAAAGAAAUUAAUGGAGCUUAAAGACCUCAUUGUAAAAACUUUAUGGGCUAAGUAUGGAGAAGAGGAACUAAGCUUGGCAGUCGAGGCUGCAGAGUCGGAAGUGGAGCAUGUAGGGGCUAUUGCACCGAGUGAAGAUAAAGAAAUAUUUGACUUUAUGAUCGAGCACCUGGGAGAGCUGGUCAAAAGAGCCAAGGACCUCCACACACAGUGGAAGUCCUGGGCCCCGCCUGAGGAGCAACAGCCACUCCAGACCCGAGUCCGCGAGCUGGAACGGGCGUUAAUGAAGCUCACUGCAAGAAAAGCUGAAUUUAUCAAAAUUCGAGGCAAAGAAGACAGGCCUAUUGCCACCACCUCUGGUUACACAGCAACACCUGUCCCACAGUUAAAGCCUGCCUCCCUCCCGAAGUUUCCUGGCACCAGAGGAGACUUCCAUCACUGGAGGAAGUACUGGGAGGCUCUCCAGGAGCAAGUUGAUCCAACUGGAUCAAAAGAAAUGAAAAAAGUACAGCUACUUGACAGCAUAGAUGACGCAACAUCAAGGGAUCUUCGGCUGUCGACAUACUCCACUGCGGAUGAUAUCUUCAAAGUCCUUGAAAAUCGCUAUGGUAACAAGACUAAUAAUGCAAUAGAGAUUGUUGAAGAGCUCCAAAGGCUACCCUCUGUCAAAGGAAACCAGCCCAAGAAGAUCAUUGAGCUUAUCCAGUUGGUAGAGAAGGCCUUUAUUGACCUGACUGACCUUGGGGAAACUGGAGCCAUCAAGAACACCCUCAUGACAAAGUCAUUAGAGGGCAAGCUUCCGGACUCCAUGAAGAAGGACUGGCUUCUGUACGCAGCAGAAAGAAAUGCAGAGCAAGGCAACCGUUUUGACAUCUUCUUAGCCUUCCUGAGAAGUCAGGAAGCCAUUUAUGAACAGCUGGACCAGCUGCAGGAUGAAGACGGCCCCAAAGUGAAGCAGGAUCCACAGCAGGACAAAACAGUGAUGCAGACAAGCAGCACUGCUCCUGAGUGCGUCAUCUGUGGACACGCUAAACACGGGCAAAGGCUGUACUUCUGCAGGAAAUUUCAAGCUCUCAAAUUAAGGGAGAAAAGGGAUGCUGUCAGAAAACUUGGGGCCUGCAAGAAGUGCCUGGAGAUUCACUCUGAAAACGAUGUCUGCAAAAAGGAAUUCCUGUGCCAACGGCCUGAAUGCAGCGAAGAACAGCACCACUUCUACUUGUGCCCCAAAACCGAGCGAGCCAGGACGUUCACUGCAUUGAAGACUAAAGUCAGCGCAGGUGGAGGGGCCAUCCCGAGGAGCUACACCAAAGCCCAGCACGAGUUUGUCAAGAAACUCCCCCCUGAACUGGCCAAAGAGUGCCGCAAUGUGUUCCGCAACCCGGCCAUGAGAACCUCGCAAGCCACUGGUGCACACAACCUGAGCGAGAGAGUUUUCAGAAGUUGGCCUGUCCAAAAGAAGUAUUAA